UUUGAAAGGGAUCGAAGGUUGUUAAAGAUAAUGCGAUUUCACCAUUGAGCUUCUAGAUGUGUGAUAAUAUAUCUAUUGUUGCAAUUUAAGUUAGCAAGCAGUGGUAAAAUGUUAUUUAACAAGUAAACAAAUUCAGACAACAUCCUUAAGGUGUUGUCGUGCGUGUGGUGCGCGGUAUCUAUGCGGCGUGCGUGCAUACGUGCACGUGUGUGGUUCUGAACUUCUUCAUCUGUUGCGUUGAAUGGUCAUCAUAAUCUCAAGUAAUUUUCAGCUAAAAGGAUAAUGUACGUUCGUCCGUCAUGAUGUUAUAAUUUAUAAAGGAAUAGGGCCUUUAAUUACAAGUAAAUGAUAUUAUCAUUUAUUUAAUUAAAUUCAUUUAUAUCCAAUAAUUAUUCUCACUGACGACAUCAAAAGGAAAAAAAAAAAACAGUAUUAAAAGAAUUGAUAAGGAUGGCUCAUCGUUCGUGCCUUCGUUGUACCUUCACAUGUUCUCAUUUCAUAGUGGUACUCAACAACUUAAAAGAAACUAAGAGGAUUAUUCAAGGGGAGGACUAAGGAUGGGAAGAAGAGCCAGAAGAAAUUUAAUUUUGAUUUUAAGUCAAUUAUCAUAUAUGUAUCGUUCGCUAGUCACUCUCACUCCUCUUAUCAAUUCAAGAAAUUAAGCUUGAAUUUUGUAUAGCCCGCGAUGACCAAGUCUUUUUCACACACAUGGAUCAUGGAUGGUUCAAUUAAUUUUAAUAACAAGAAAUUUACCACAAAAUCAACAACGCCUACACACACAAUACACACAUUUAUAGUCAUUCUCAGGUAGUGACCCUCAAUUUUUUUAAUGUAGACAUGCAGUUAAAUCAUAUAUUUUAAUAGAGUUAAUUUUCAAUAGAUUAUAAAACCAUGCAGUUUAAUAACAUUAAAAACUGACUCUAUUAAAUCCCACGGUUUAAAAAUUUGUUAGCAUAAAAAAAGAAAAAAUACGUCCGCACUAGAAAAUGACAUUAUAUAUAUCUAUAGUUUUUUUCUAGCGAAUGUAUCCUCAUUUUAAUAUAGUGAGAAUGCAUACUAAAAUAUAAAAAAUUACAAAUUUCAAUAUAUUA
Molecule: long non-coding RNA, 1091 nt
Filed under: Citrus x clementina
Lineage: Eukaryota; Viridiplantae; Streptophyta; Magnoliopsida; Sapindales; Rutaceae
Description: Citrus clementina (C. clementina) long non-coding RNA (CCLE_LNC003035)
Source: RNAcentral